Molecule: long non-coding RNA, 141 nt
Organism: Amblyraja radiata (thorny skate)
Lineage: Eukaryota; Metazoa; Chordata; Chondrichthyes; Rajiformes; Rajidae
Exons: 2
Source: RefSeq, a predicted model, not a curated record
GCGGGUGCACCAGCAUCUAUGGAGCGAAGGAAAUGUGUGACGUUUCGGGUCAAGACUCUUCUUCAGACUGGUUAAGGAUAAAGGUAACGAUACUUAUAGACGGUAAUGUGAAGAGAUAAAGACCAAUGAUUGAAAGGAAUG